AAGCAUGUCAGACCACCAUUUCCCUCAAGCGUAGGGAGUGAUGGUGUCCAAAACACAUGCAAGAAGAAGAUUUGGGAGUUCACAGGAUCAGUGAUCUUCUAGAGGUGAUCGGCUGGUAGUAUCAGACUCCUACACUG
Molecule: small nucleolar RNA, 137 nt
Organism: Melanotaenia boesemani (Boeseman's rainbowfish)
Lineage: Eukaryota; Metazoa; Chordata; Actinopteri; Atheriniformes; Melanotaeniidae
Product: small nucleolar RNA U109
Exons: 1
Source: RefSeq, a predicted model, not a curated record